This 577-nucleotide ribosomal RNA is filed under the name uncultured bacterium. RNAcentral describes it as "bacterial SSU rRNA". It matches the Rfam family "Bacterial small subunit ribosomal RNA", at positions 338 to 916 of the family's 1533-position model. The record is from RNAcentral.
CCUACGGGAGGCAGCAGUAAGGAAUAUUGGUCAAUGGACGAAAGUCUGAACCAGCCAUGCCGCGUGAAGGAUGACGGCCCUCUGGGUUGUAAACUUCUUUUAUCUGGGACGAAAAAAGGGAAUUCUUUCUCACUUGACGGUACCAGAGGAAUAAGCACCGGCUAACUCCGUGCCAGCAGCCGCGGUAAUACGGAGGGUGCAAGCGUUAUCCGGAUUCACUGGGUUUAAAGGGAGCGUAGGUGGGCAGGUAAGUCAGUGGUGAAAUCUCCGGGCUUAACCCGGAAACUGCCAUUGAUACUAUUUGUCUUGAAUUAUCUGGAGGUAAGCGGAAUAUGUCAUGUAGCGGUGAAAUGCUUAGAUAUGACAUAGGACACCGAUUGCGAAGGCAGCUUACUACGGAUAUAUUGACACUGAGGCUCGAAAGCGUGGGGAUCAAACAGGAUUAGAUACCCUGGUAGUCCAUGCCCUAAACGAUGGAUACUCGACAUCAGCGAUACACUGUUGGUGUCUGAGCGAAAGCAUUAAGUAUCCCACCUGGAAGUACGACCGCAAGGUUGAAACUCAAAGGAAUUGACGG